This 916-nucleotide ribosomal RNA is filed under the name uncultured bacterium. RNAcentral describes it as "bacterial SSU rRNA". It matches the Rfam family "Bacterial small subunit ribosomal RNA", at positions 8 to 916 of the family's 1533-position model. The record is from RNAcentral.
AGAGUUUGAUCCUGGCUCAGGAUGAACGCUAGCUACAGGCUUAACACAUGCAAGUCGAGGGGCAGCGGGAUUGAAGCUUGCUUCAAUUGCCGGCGACCGGCGCACGGGUGAGUAACGCGUAUCCAACCUUCCGUACACUCAGGGAUAGCCUUUCGAAAGAAAGAUUAAUACCUGAUGGUAUGAUGAGAUCGCAUGAUAGCAUCAUUAAAGAUUUAUCGGUGUACGAUGGGGAUGCGUUCCAUUAGGUAGUAGGCGGGGUAACGGCCCACCUAGCCAACGAUGGAUAGGGGUUCUGAGAGGAAGGUCCCCCACAUUGGAACUGAGACACGGUCCAAACUCCUACGGGAGGCAGCAGUGAGGAAUAUUGGUCAAUGGACGAGAGUCUGAACCAGCCAAGUAGCGUGAAGGAUGAAGGUCCUACGGAUUGUAAACUUCUUUUAUAAGGGAAUAAACCCUCCCACGUGUGGGAGCUUGUAUGUACCUUAUGAAUAAGCAUCGGCUAACUCCGUGCCAGCAGCCGCGGUAAUACGGAGGAUGCGAGCGUUAUCCGGAUUUAUUGGGUUUAAAGGGAGCGCAGACGGGUCGUUAAGUCAGCUGUGAAAGUUUGGGGCUCAACCUUAAAAUUGCAGUUGAUACUGGCGUCCUUGAGUGCGGUUGAGGUGUGCGGAAUUCGUGGUGUAGCGGUGAAAUGCUUAGAUAUCACGAAGAACUCCGAUUGCGAAGGCAGCACACUAAUCCGUAACUGACGUUCAUGCUCGAAAGUGUGGGUAUCAAACAGGAUUAGAUACCCUGGUAGUCCACACGGUAAACGAUGGAUACUCGCUGUUGGCGAUAUACUGUCAGCGGCUUAGCGAAAGCGUUAAGUAUCCCACCUGGGGAGUACGCCGGCAACGGUGAAACUCAAAGGAAUUGACGG